UCUUAACUCUGGCGGCGUGCCUAAUACAUGCAAGUCGAGCGAACAGACGAGGAGCUUGCUCCUCUGACGUUAGCGGCGGACGGGUGAGUAACACGUGGAUAACCUACCUAUAAGACUGGGAUAACUUCGGGAAACCGGAGCUAAUACCGGAUAAUAUAUUGAACCGCAUGGUUCAAUAGUGAAAGACGGUUUUGCUGUCACUUAUAGAUGGAUCCGCGCCGCAUUAGCUAGUUGGUAAGGUAACGGCUUACCAAGGCAACGAUGCGUAGCCGACCUGAGAGGGUGAUCGGCCACACUGGAACUGAGACACGGUCCAGACUCCUACGGGAGGCAGCAGUAGGGAAUCUUCCGCAAUGGGCGAAAGCCUGACGGAGCAACGCCGCGUGAGUGAUGAAGGUCUUCGGAUCGUAAAACUCUGUUAUUAGGGAAGAACAAAUGUGUAAGUAACUAUGCACGUCUUGGCGGUACCUAAUCAGAAAGCCACGGCUAACUACGUG
Molecule: ribosomal RNA, 497 nt
Filed under: uncultured bacterium
Lineage: Bacteria
Description: partial 16S ribosomal RNA
Rfam family: Bacterial small subunit ribosomal RNA
Source: RNAcentral